This 300-nucleotide ribosomal RNA is filed under the name uncultured bacterium. Its description in RNAcentral is "bacterial SSU rRNA". It matches the Rfam family "Bacterial small subunit ribosomal RNA", at positions 1081 to 1382 of the family's 1533-position model. The record is from RNAcentral.
UAAGUCCCGCAACGAGCGCAACCCUUGUCCUUAGUUGCCAGCCUUAAGUUGGGCACUCUAAGGAGACCGCCGGUGACAAACCGGAGGAAGGUGGGGACGACGUCAAGUCAUCAUGGCCCUUACGUGUAGGGCUACACACGUGCUACAAUGGCAAGUACAAAGGGUUGCAAACUCGCGAGAGUAAGCGGAUCCCAUAAAGCUUGUCGUAGUCCGGAUUGGAGUCUGCAACUCGACUCCAUGAAGUCGGAAUCGCUAGUAAUCGUGGAUCAGAAUGCCACGGUGAAUACGUUCCCGGGCCUU